UUCCGGUUGAUCCUGCCGGAGGCCAUUGCUAUUGGGAUUCGAUUUAGCCAUGCUAGUCGCACGAGUUCAGACUCGUGGCGAAUAGCUCAGUAACACGUGGCCAAACUACCCUUCGGAACACAAUACCCUCGGGAAACUGAGGCUAAUAGUGUAUACCGCAUCACACCUGGAAUGAGUGAUGCGCCAAACGCUCCGGCGCCGAAGGAUGUGGCUGCGGCCGAUUAGGUAGACGGUGGGGUAACGGCCCACCGUGCCAAUAAUCGGUACGGGUCAUGAGAGUGAGAACCCGGAGACGGAAUCUGAGACAAGAUUCCGGGCCCUACGGGGCGCAGCAGGCGCGAAACCUUUACACUGCACGACAGUGCGAUAAGGGAAUCCCAAGUGCGUAGGCAUAGAGCCUACGCUUUUGUCCACCGUAGGGAGGUGGACGAAUAAGGGCUGGGCAAGACCGGUGCCAGCCGCCGCGGUAAUACCGGCAGCCCGAGUGAUGGCCGAUCUUAUUGGGCCUAAAGCGUCCGUAGCUGGCCGCACAAGUCUAUCGGAAAAUCCACCCGCUCAACGGGUGGGCGUCCGGUAGAAACUGUGUGGCUUGGGACCGGAAGGCGCGACGGGUACGUCCGGGGUAGGAGUGAAAUCCUGUAAUCCUGGACGGACCGCCGAUGGCGAAAGCACGUCGCGAAGACGGAUCCGACAGUGAGGGACGAAAGCUAGGGUCUCGAACCGGAUUAGAUACCCGGGUAGUCCUAGCCGUAAACGAUGCCUGUUAGGUGUGACUCCCACUACGAGUGGGUGUUGUGCCGUAGGGAAGCCGCUAAACAGGCCGCCUGGGAAGUACGUCCGCAAGGAUGAAACUUAAAGGAAUUGGCGGGGGAGCACUACAACCGGAGGAGCCUGCGGUUUAAUUGGAUUCAACGCCGG
This 918-nucleotide ribosomal RNA is filed under the name uncultured archaeon. RNAcentral describes it as "bacterial SSU rRNA". It matches the Rfam family "Archaeal small subunit ribosomal RNA", at positions 1 to 921 of the family's 1478-position model. The record is from RNAcentral.